AAGACUAUAGACCUGCGGAGUACCUGCGGAAGGAUCAUUACCGAGUUAGGGUAGUCACUCACUGCCCGACCUCCCAACCCUGUGUCUACCACACUUUGUCGUUGCUUCGGCGGACCGGUUGACCAACUGGUCGUGACCGCCGGGGGCUGGCUCUGUCCCCCCUGGAGAGCGUCCGUCGAUGGCCCAACCACAAAACUCUUGUACCGAAACGUGUCGUCUGAAUUAUAUUUGAGAAAUCAA
Molecule: unclassified non-coding RNA, 240 nt
Filed under: soil metagenome
Description: partial contains 5.8S ribosomal RNA, internal transcribed spacer 2, and large subunit ribosomal RNA
Source: RNAcentral